GCUUGUUGGCGAGGUAACGGCUCACCAAGGCAACGACGGGUAGCUGGUCUGAGAGGAUGGCCAGCCACAUUGGGACUGAGAUACGGCCCAGACUCCUACGGGAGGCAGCAGUGGGGAAUCUUGCGCAAUGGCCGAAAGGCUGACGCAGCGACGCCGCGUGUGGGAUGAAGCAUUUCGGUGUGUAAACCACUGUUGCCCGGGACGAACAGCGCUUUUCGAGGCGCCUGACGGUACCGGGUGAGGAAGCACCGGCUAACUCCGUGCCAGCAGCCGCGGUAAUACGGAGGGUGCGAGCGUUGUCCGGAAUCAUUGGGCGUAAAGGGCGCGUAGGUGGCCUGUUAAGCGUGCGGUGAAAGCUCGGGGCUCAACCCCGAGUCGGCCGUGCGAACUGGGAGGCUCGAGCACUGUAGAGGCAGACGGAAUUCCGGGUGUAGCGGUGGAAUGCGUAGAGAUCCGGAAGAACACCGGUGGCGAAGGCGGCCUGCUGGGCAGUAGCUGACACUGAGGCGCGACAGCGUGGGGAGCAAACAGGAUUAGAUACCCUGGUAGUCCACGCCGUAAACGAUGGGCACUAGGCGCUUGGGGGAGCGACCCUCCGAGGGCCGGCGCUAACGCAUUAAGUGCCCCGCCUGGGGAGUACGG
This 642-nucleotide ribosomal RNA is filed under the name uncultured bacterium. RNAcentral describes it as "bacterial SSU rRNA". It matches the Rfam family "Bacterial small subunit ribosomal RNA", at positions 244 to 885 of the family's 1533-position model. The record is from RNAcentral.